CCUACGGGAGGCAGCAGUAGGGAAUCUUUCACAAUGGGCGAAAGCCUGAUGGAGCAACGCCGCGUGCAGGAUGAAGGCCUUCGGGUUGUAAACUGCUUUUAUAAGCGAGAAAUAUGAUGGUAACUUAUGAAAAAGCAUCGGCUAUCUCCGUGCCAGCAGCCGCGGUAAUACGGGGGAUGCGAGCGUUCGCCGGAUUUAUUGGGGUAAAAGGGUGCGGAGGCGGGCGGUUAUGUCACCGGUCAAAUGUCGGGGCUCAACCACGGCCUGCCGUUGAUACUGGCGGCCUCGAGUGGGCGAGAAGUAUGCGGAAUGCGUGGUGUAGCGGUGAAAUGCAUAGAGAUCACGCAGAACUCCGAUUGCGAAGGCAGCAUACCGGCGGCCUACUGACGCUGAGGCACGAAAGCGUGGGUAUCGAACAGGAUUAGAUACCCCAGUAGUC
RNAcentral lists this ribosomal RNA (439 nucleotides) under uncultured bacterium. RNAcentral describes it as "partial 16S ribosomal RNA". It matches the Rfam family "Bacterial small subunit ribosomal RNA", at positions 338 to 795 of the family's 1533-position model. The record is from RNAcentral.